RNAcentral lists this small RNA (27 nucleotides) under Bombyx mori (domestic silkworm). RNAcentral's name for it is "ovarian small RNA-19929". Lineage: Eukaryota; Metazoa; Arthropoda; Insecta; Lepidoptera; Bombycidae. The record is from RNAcentral.
UAAUUGGAGUUUAUAUGGGCGUAUUUA